UGGGGAAUAUUGCACAAUGGGCGCAAGCCUGAUGCAGCCAUGCCGCGUGUGUGAAGAAGGCCUUCGGGUUGUAAAGCACUUUCAGCGGGGAGGAAGGCGUUAAGGUUAAUAACCUUGGCGAUUGACGUUACCCGCAGAAGAAGCACCGGCUAACUCCGUGCCAGCAGCCGCGGUAAUACGGAGGGUGCAAGCGUUAAUCGGAAUUACUGGGCGUAAAGCGCACGCAGGCGGUCUGUCAAGUCGGAUGUGAAAUCCCCGGGCUCAACCUGGGAACUGCAUUCGAAACUGGCAGGCUAGAGUCUUGUAGAGGGGGGUAGAAUUCCAGGUGUAGCGAUGAAAUGCGUAGAGAUCUGGAGGAAUACCGGUGGCGAAGGCGGCCCCCUUGACAAAGACUGACGCUCAGGUGCGAAAGCGUGGGGAGCAAACAGG
This 429-nucleotide ribosomal RNA is filed under the name Chloroflexota bacterium. Its description in RNAcentral is "Chloroflexi bacterium partial 16S ribosomal RNA". It matches the Rfam family "Bacterial small subunit ribosomal RNA", at positions 355 to 776 of the family's 1533-position model. The record is from RNAcentral. Lineage: Bacteria; Bacillati; Chloroflexota.